AUCAAGAUGGCGCUGAGUCGGAAGGACGUUAAGCUUCCUGAGAAUUACCCGCGGCAUUUGUUGCUCGAAAAGCACGCGGAAUUUAUCUGCAAAUAUGGAAAUGAUCCAAAUGAUUAUGAGUACGCAAUGUCAGAGUUUCUUAGGAUGAACGGUGUGUACUGGGGCUGCUCUGCUAUGCAUCUAAUGGGUAAAUUGGAUUCCAUGGAUAAACAAGAGAUAAUUCAGUUUCUCAAAGAUUGCCAGGAUGAAAAUGGUGGUUUUAGACCUGUUCAAGGACAUGACCCCCACUUACUCAAUACCCUGUCAGCUGUACAGAUCGCCGUGAUAUUUGAUUGCUUGGAGGAGAUCGACUCUGAGAAGGUGGUGGACUACGUGCUCAGCUUGAGGCUGGAGAACGGCAGCUUUAUGGGGGACAAGUUUGGGGAGGUCGACAAUAGAUUUACAUUCUGUGCAGUAGCCUGCCUUGCUCUUCUAGGUAAAUUGUCUCGCCUGGACGUUGAUAAAACUGCCGGGUUUGUUAAAGCGUGUUUAAAUUUUGAUGGAGGUUUUGGAUCCAGGCCUGGGGCGGAGUCACACGCAGGGUUGAUAUAUACCUGUGUUGGAACACUAGCAAUUACAGGACAUCUACAUUAUAUAGAUGCUGACCGACUUGGCUGGUGGUUGGCUGAGAGACAACUAGAUUCAGGGGGUUUGAAUGGGAGACCUGAAAAGUUACCUGAUGUCUGCUACUCUUGGUGGGUCCUUGCCAGCCUUGCUAUUCUCAAUAGAUUGCAUUGGAUAGAUAAAGAGAAAUUAAAAGAUUUUAUGCUUGCCUGUCAGGACCCUGAGACAGGAGGAUUCGCUGACCGGCCUGGAGAUCUUCCUGAUCCAUUCCACACCCUGUUCGGAGUAGCCGGUCUGUCCUUGUUGGGGGAGCCGGGGGUAGGCCAGGUCAACCCGGUGUUCUGUAUGCCCCAGCAGGUCCUGGAUAGAAUAGGAGUCAAAUAAUACAACAUUAUAGUAAAUGUAAUGUAUUUGAAAACUGUGCUGUGUUAUAUCUUGAAAUUAUUAAAUAUCAUAAAAUGUGACGAACUGUCGGUGAUUAACAACAUUAUUGCUGAUCUUACUCUCAGUGAUUCAAAAAAAUAACCUGCGUGACCAGUCACUGUCCUCCUUAAAUAGUUCCAUGGUGUCAUCGGUUUCAAUGAUAAAAGUGAAGUAUACAAGAAAUAUUUAUUUUUCUACAAACUAUUGAUUAUUUCUUAUUCAUGAUCUGUUUGUUUUCAGA
Molecule: unclassified non-coding RNA, 1267 nt
Filed under: Eurytemora carolleeae
Lineage: Eukaryota; Metazoa; Arthropoda; Copepoda; Calanoida; Temoridae
Description: geranylgeranyl transferase type-2 subunit beta
Source: RNAcentral